GGAGGGUUCGCCUAGUGGCCGAUGGCGCUGGUCUUGAAAACCGGUAAGGCAGCGAUGUCUUCGUGGGUUCGAAUCCCACACCCUCCGCCG
RNAcentral lists this transfer RNA (90 nucleotides) under Micromonospora sp. RP3T. RNAcentral's name for it is "tRNA-Ser". It matches the Rfam family "tRNA". Rfam says of the family: Transfer RNA (tRNA) molecules are approximately 80 nucleotides in length. RNAcentral also lists the same sequence under 3 other names. The record is from RNAcentral. Lineage: Bacteria; Bacillati; Actinomycetota; Actinomycetes; Micromonosporales; Micromonosporaceae.